This 803-nucleotide ribosomal RNA is filed under the name uncultured bacterium. RNAcentral's name for it is "bacterial SSU rRNA". It matches the Rfam family "Bacterial small subunit ribosomal RNA", at positions 8 to 811 of the family's 1533-position model. The record is from RNAcentral.
AGAGUUUGAUCCUGGCUCAGGAUGAACGCUGGCGGCGUGCUUAACACAUGCAAGACGAACGAAGCACUUAAGAACGAUUCUUCGGAUGAAGUCUUUUGUGACUGAGUGGCGGACGGGUGAGUAACGCGUGGGUAACCUGCCUCACACAGGGGGAUAACAGUUGGAAACGACCGCUAAUACCGCAUAACCCGCUGGUAUCGCAUGAUACUGACGGAAAAGAUUUAUCGGUGUGAGAUGGACCCGCGUCUGAUUAGCCAGUUGGCAGGGUAACGGCCUACCAAAGCGACGAUCAGUAGCCGGCCUGAGAGGGUGAACGGCCACAUUGGGACUGAGACACGGCCCAAACUCCUACGGGAGGCAGCAGUGGGGAAUAUUGCACAAUGGGGGAAACCCUGAUGCAGCGACGCCGCGUGAGUGAAGAAGUAUUUCGGUAUGUAAAGCUCUAUCAGCAGGGAAGAAAAUGACGGUACCUGACUAAGAAGCCCCGGCUAACUACGUGCCAGCAGCCGCGGUAAUACGUAGGGGGCAAGCGUUAUCCGGAUUUACUGGGUGUAAAGGGAGCGUAGACGGUGAUGCAAGUCAGAAGUGAAAGCCCGGGGCUCAACUCCGGGACUGCUUUUGAAACUGUGUAACUGGAGUGCAGGAGAGGUAAGCGGAAUGCCUAGUGUAGCGGUGAAAUGCGUAGAUAUUAGGAGGAACACCAGUGGCGAAGGCGGCUUACUGGACUGUAACUGACGUUGAGGCUCGAAAGCGUGGGGAGCAAACAGGAUUAGAUACCCUGGUAGUCCACGCCGUAAACGAUG